CUCCCUGACAGGGCUACCCGUCAACCAGCCCAGGCAAUUCCCUACUUCAACAUGGAAUGCUUCAGUUCCAGAGCUGAGUACCUCUUCAAAAGCACUGAAUCAUGCUUGGAGGAUUUUAAGAGUGGCUUGGUUGCUGCAGUAUGGAUGAAACUCUAGGGCUGUGCAAAUCUUUGAGUCUCAGGGCAGUUGAAAUGGCAGUAUAGAGCUCCCCAGUAUGGACUGACUUGAGAAAAUGAAGACAAACCACAGUAGCUACAAUGAUAAUAAAAGGACCAGUCAAUGAAGAGAAGAAGAUUCCUUCAGUGAGCAGUCAAGCACAGGUUUGAGCUCUGGUGAAAUCUCUCCUUUCACUGUUGAUGUGGACAUGGGGAGGCAAGCCUAAUGCGAGCCUUUGUGACCACCUCAGAAGGCAUCAAACUCACUUUAACAAGUAACCAUUGUUUUUAUUAAAGCUGGUUGGAAUUCCUCAUAAUUAUAGGAGGCAUGUGUUUGACCAAGUAUCUGAGAAACAGAAGGCAUUAGAUCUUACAAAUGGA
Coturnix japonica (Japanese quail) is the source of this 536-nucleotide non-coding RNA. Lineage: Eukaryota; Metazoa; Chordata; Aves; Galliformes; Phasianidae. The record is from RefSeq and is a predicted model, not a curated record.